This 431-nucleotide long non-coding RNA is filed under the name Aquilegia coerulea. Its description in RNAcentral is "long non-coding RNA (ACOE_LNC001609)". Lineage: Eukaryota; Viridiplantae; Streptophyta; Magnoliopsida; Ranunculales; Ranunculaceae. The record is from RNAcentral.
GGGUCGAUGUCGAGGUCGAUGACGAUGACAGAAGGUGGAGGUCGAUCGAUGGUGAAGACGACGAAUGAUGGUGGAGGUCGAUCGAUGGUGAAGAGUGAAGACGACGAGUGAUGGUCAAUCGGUGUUUUGCGCUGCAGUUUUGGCCGCCAUUGUUGUCGAGAGAGAGAGAAAGAUUAGGUUUGUUGUUGUGAUGGUGGAGGUCGAUCGAUGGUGAAGAGUGAAGACGACGAGUGAUGGUCAAUCGGUGUUUUGCGCUGCAGUUUUGGCCGCCAUUGUUGUCGAGAGAGAGAGAAAGAUUAGGUUUGUUGAUUUAUUUGUUGGUUUUUAUACUUGCCUCAGGAAUUAUUUUCCUGCUUUUUUCAGGCAAAUGGGAGCACGUGACCAUCUCGGGCAAAAUUUGCCGAAUAUUUGCCCGAUGGCCUAAAACGUUA